ACCGCUGAGCCCGUGGGGGCGGCCCGGUCUCCAAAACCGGCGCCUGCGAAUUCGACUUUCGCCAGCGGUGCCA
This 73-nucleotide transfer RNA is filed under the name Skermanella rosea. Its description in RNAcentral is "tRNA-Trp". Lineage: Bacteria; Pseudomonadati; Pseudomonadota; Alphaproteobacteria; Rhodospirillales; Azospirillaceae. The record is from RNAcentral.